AUUUUAGACCCAUAUCCCUGAUGAACAUCGAUGUACAAGCCUUCAACUUUAUGAAGAGAAGAGGUCAUUUUCUCUUGAAGAGUGUGAAUAAUGUUGUAUACUCAAACUCUGAGAAACACAGAAUCCAGAAAUUUGUCCUCCCAGACUUUUUUGGAGCAGGGGUAGAGGCAUGCGACCUGGAUAUUCCCAACCAGAAACAUCCUUAGAAAACUUUGAUUCACAAGAGAGAAUUUGAGGAAGUAAUCACCCUCGUGCAAACUAGAUCAGAUGUUGGAACAGAGGCCUGUGGGAGUAGUUGACUUGUCCAAAGACUCAGAACUAGUGACUGAUGAAGUUGGGACUCAAAUCCUACAUUCUACCUCUUAAACCAGGAAACUUCCCUCUACACCCCACUGUUUCUGAAGAGAUUCCUAAAGGAAGAGGAUCAAAUUGAUAGCAGUGGGUCCCUCCUUCUUUCCUCAUAGACAUGCACAUUAUCUACAGACAGAAAAGGAACCCUUUCUCAAAAAUGUUGGACUUCUUGAUUUAAAGAAUUGAAAAAAAAUACACAGGACCUCCCAUGUUGAACACAUUAUUCAGUAGGUUUUAGAAACAUGUGCUGAUGGAACAGGUGCUAUAGACUGAAUGUUUGUCCCCAUAAAAUUCCUAUGUUGAAACCUAACCCCCAGUGUGAUGGAAUUUGGAGGUGGGCUCUUUGGGAGGUGAUUAGGUCGUGAGGGUGGCGCCCUCAAGGAUGGAAUCAAUGCCCUUAUGAAAGAGGCCUCAGAGAGUUCUCUGCAUUUCCCCAUGUAAGAACAUACAGAGAAGAUGGGCAUGCAUGAAGCAGAGAAUGAUUGGCCCUCACCAGAUGCUGAAUCUGCCAGUGCCCUGACCUGGGACUUUCCAGUUUCCAGAACUGUGAGUAAUUAAUUUCUAUUGUUGAUAAGCACCCAACUUACGGUACUUAGUUAUUGUAGCCUGAAUGAACUAAGAAAACAGUUGACAACAGCAUAAUUUUUACACUGAGGGAAUAUAGUUUUAUUUUGCGUUGUUACAAUAUUGAGAAUAUUAUAGUCAUGCAUAGGCUACAGAGUCAUCAGGAGGUAAUUGAAUCUCAGGGAUUAAAAAUAGAUGUACCAAUCUAUUUUCCUUAGCAUAUAAAUAUUACAAGCAUUCUGCAUUUUAGAUCAACUAGAAUUGUCAGGUGAUAAUGACCACACUAGUGUUUCAAUGAUUAAAUGACAUGCCCUUGGUCUAUGGCAUGAAAGGAUUGUUCCACAUUUAUUUUCUAAAUUAAAGUUAAUACCUGAAUAUCAAAAGAAUAACCAAACAAGGAAACAGGAAAGAAUAGUAAUAUAAUUCAGAAACAGGACUUAUCUUCUGAAGGUGCAGUCAUGUUUUUAUAAUUUUAUUUUUCUAUAGAUAGAAUUGCUGUGGAUGUUGGUAUUAACUUUUUGAAUAAUUGAAGAGGUAAUAGAUAAGAAAUGGCUGUAUUCUGCAACAUUAAAAUGAUAUUUUCCUCCACUUUUUUCUUAUCUAGCUAUUCCACUUUAGAAGUUAUUUGAAGUACAGAGGAAGAUGAACCAACAUUAGUAAGUGACCACAAUGAAGGUUAAGAUAGGCAACUUGAAAAAAGAGUGUUUUGUCAGUAAGUUAGGAAUUUGAUUUUAUCUAAGGUAGAACAUUUUUACAAGAGGAAAGACAGAAAAGAUUAUCUUUUAGCAUCAACCUCUCUAACAGUAAGAAUGAGGAAAUACAGAACAAAACCAGUCACAGGGAUGAUACAAGAACCAUCUCCAAAACUCCUAUGUAGAAAUCCAAACAUCUGAGUUUUUGUUCCAAGUCCGUUCAAGUUGAGUUGUGUGACCUUGGAUAAAUCCUUUUCUGUUGUGAUUCUUGGGGUCCAUAUGUGUCAAAUAACUUGGUUGGAAAUAAGGAACUUAAAUUCCUUGAAUCUCUGGCAUUCGAUAGCCUGGCUUUUCAGUCUGGAAACACAAGUGAUGAUGCAGUUUUUGAUAUGUGUUUGUUUUCUUUCCUUUUGUUUUGUGGGAAUUCAUUAUUUCACUGUAGAUCCUUUGAGAAGCACUAUUUUAGGAGAUGGUACCAAUGGACGAAAGUCAUUUUGAGUUUAUGUAAAUUUGUAAUUUUUGUAAUUUGGUCUUUGAUGUACCCAUUAACCUCUCUUACUGGAUUUAAGGGUAAGAUAAUCUUUGAACACCCCCACCGCCUUUUAUCAACGUGUAUUUCAUCGUCAAAGAUAACAAACUUGGUACAAUUGUCUUUUGUGAUGGAUUAUUAGACAUUCCCCUUACCUAGAAAAGGGGGAAAUGAUGGAGUAGAAAUAUGUCGUGCUAGACUAUUAGGCAAAGACGAUGAGUCUUCUAAAUUCCCUUGUGGAGAGAGAGCAACACACUUUCAUAUCCACUUAACAGAUGCUCAAUUGCUCUCCUUUGCACUCUGAUUUUGAUGAGAGCUGUAUAACAUCUCAAUUUAGACUUCCAAUGCGUCAGUUAUUUAACUUUCAAGGCAGAAGUAUGAUGCCCAUCACAGAUGUGUUUUGAGGAUCAGCUCUUAGAGUGCAAGGCUCUAAAAUAUUUUGCAUGAAGAUACUAUUUUUAAGAUUUUACUGCUUAUUGUUUACUCAGCAGGUCGGCACUUUUCUUUCCAUCUUUCUGAUAAGAGGAGAAGAGAUAAAUAAGAGGGAACUGAAAGGGACAAUAGUGCAGAUGAAGGUGAGAAGGCUCAGAGAAAGCAACUAAUGUGCCUGAAGUCACACACAGUUAGUAAAAGGACUGACACUGAGGAUGAGGUGCCCUCAUCCCAGUUGCUGCCCUGUUAACCUUUGGGUAGCUCAAAUCAGUUUGAAGCCUCUACUUGGAAUCCUGUGUCUAGUACUCACAUUGUUCUUUCCUUAGAAAUACGUAGAUCGACAUUGACAAUUGAAAACAUAAUUUCAUCUAUUAGCAAAAUUGGAGAGGUUUGUUUUGAUCCAGGGUCUGAGGUGCACCAUAGAGCUGACAUUACUGCCACACGCUGUAAACAAACAGCAUUGUUAUUGAAAAUGUGCUUUAAAAAUAAUUAUUUCCAUUUAUAAAGCGCUCACUUUAUGCCAGCAUUAUUUUAAUUGCUUUACUUAUUUUAACUUAUUGAAUCCUCAUGUCAACCUUGUGUAAGGUAGUUACUCUUAUUGUCAUCAUCUCUGCUUUGUGAAUGAAAAACCUGCUGCCCACUGAGGAUAAAUCACUUGCCUUAAGGUCACACGGCUAGUAAGUGCUUACACAGAAAAAUUAGAACUGGGUGGUCUGGCUCUGCUGUCUGCACUCCUCCCCACUACAUGCUAUAGUCCAUCAAAAUAAUAAUUGUCUCAUCUCUUUUUUUGUUCUAGAGAACUUUAAAAUACAAAAAAAAAAA
Molecule: long non-coding RNA, 3390 nt
Organism: Macaca mulatta (Rhesus monkey)
Lineage: Eukaryota; Metazoa; Chordata; Mammalia; Primates; Cercopithecidae
Source: RefSeq, a predicted model, not a curated record